GGGCCUGCACAAGCGGUGGAGUAUGUGGCUUAAUUCGAUGCAACGCGAAGAACCUUACCUGGCCUUGACAUGCAUCUCUAAGCGUGUGAAAGCACGUGACCCCUCGGGGAAUUUGCACAGGUGCUGCAUGGCUGUCGUCAGCUCGUGUCGUGAGAUGUUGGGUUAAGUCCCGCAACGAGCGCAACCCUUGUGUCCUGUUGCCACUUCCGCUAGCGCGGAAAGCACUCUGGACAGACUGCCUCGUCUCAACGAGGAGGAAGGUGGGGAUGACGUCAAGUCAGUAUGGCCCUUACGGCCAGGGCUGCACACGUACUACAAUGCCUGGUACAAUGGGAAGCAAUACCGUGAGGUGGAGCAAAUCCUCAAAACCAGGCCCAGUUCAGAUUGUAGUCUGCAACUCGACUACAUGAAGUCGGAAUCGCUAG
This 425-nucleotide ribosomal RNA is filed under the name uncultured bacterium. Its description in RNAcentral is "bacterial SSU rRNA". It matches the Rfam family "Bacterial small subunit ribosomal RNA", at positions 917 to 1338 of the family's 1533-position model. The record is from RNAcentral.